CGUGACUUUCGGAUCUGUCAAGAAAAUUUUAGAAUUUUUGGAAUCCUUUCCGUCAAGAAAACUCGAACUCGGGAAGGCACGCUACAACCAAGUGAGUGAUGCCAUGGUUCGAGGCGGGAAUGCGUGCUGAAUCUUAAUGCCACAGAGGAGUGUCCCGGGGCGUCUAGGAGUCUGUGCAU
Molecule: long non-coding RNA, 179 nt
Organism: Cucurbita maxima (winter squash)
Lineage: Eukaryota; Viridiplantae; Streptophyta; Magnoliopsida; Cucurbitales; Cucurbitaceae
Exons: 3
Source: RefSeq, a predicted model, not a curated record